AGGACGAACGCUGGCGGCGUGCUUAACACAUGCAAGUCGAGGGCACUUUGGGGGCAACUCUGGAGUGACCGGCGAACGGGUGCGUAACACGUGAGCGACCUUGCCUCGUGGUGGGGGAUAGCCGGCCCAACGGCCGGGUAAUACCGCAUAGGGUGGUCUUUUCGCAUGGAGAGACUAGCAAAGCCCUGGAGCAAUCCAGUGGCGCCACGAGGGGGGGCUCGCGGCCUAUCAGCUAGGUUGGGGGGUAAUGGCCCACCGAAGGCGACGACGGGUAGC
RNAcentral lists this ribosomal RNA (276 nucleotides) under uncultured bacterium. RNAcentral's name for it is "partial small subunit ribosomal RNA". It matches the Rfam family "Bacterial small subunit ribosomal RNA", at positions 26 to 287 of the family's 1533-position model. The record is from RNAcentral.